AUGAACGCUGGCGGCGUGCCUAAUACAUGCAAGUCGAGCGAACGGACGAGAAGCUUGCUUCUCUGAUGUUAGCGGCGGACGGGUGAGUAACACGUGGAUAACCUACCUAUAAGACUGGGAUAACUUCGGGAAACCGUAGCUAAUACCGGAUAAUAUUUUGCACCGCAUGGUUCAAAAGUGAAAGACGGUCUUGCUGUCACUUAUAGAUGGAUCCGCGCUGCAUUAGCUAGUUGGUAAGGUAACGGCUUACCAAGGCAACGAUGCAUAGCCGACCUGAGAGGGUGAUCGGCCACACUGGAACUGGGACACGGUCCAGACUCCUACGGGAGGCAGCAGUAGGGAAUCUUCCGCAAUGGGCGAAAGCCUGACGGAGCAACGCCGCGUGAGUGAUGAAGGUCUUCGGAUCGUAAAACUCUGUUAUUAGGGAAGAACAUAUGUGUAAGUAACUGUGCACAUCUUGACGGUACCUAAUCAGAAAGCCACGGCUAACUACGUG
This 496-nucleotide ribosomal RNA is filed under the name uncultured bacterium. Its description in RNAcentral is "partial 16S ribosomal RNA". It matches the Rfam family "Bacterial small subunit ribosomal RNA", at positions 29 to 507 of the family's 1533-position model. The record is from RNAcentral.